UAGUAUUUGUUGGAUAUUCCGCCAUUUUUAUACAGGCAGCCCCUGCUUCUAUGCACAGUACAUCGUACUAUGUAGCAGGCGGAUCCUGUCCACGGUCCCCAGAAAGUUGGUGAUGCGAUGCUGAUGAUAUUGAUUUGGAUUUGAGGCUUUGGGAGAUUUUUUUCUUCCUGACAACCCAUUCCAAAACGUAUCGGCUUGUUUUGGCACCUGUCAUUACUGUCACUAUUCCUUACUGUUCUUCUCCUUCUUCUUCUGAACCUUUGCUUGUCUCUUAGGGACCUUCCUUGAAUUGAAUUCAGAUCUUUUGAUGCCUG
RNAcentral lists this small RNA (314 nucleotides) under Histoplasma capsulatum var. duboisii H88. Its description in RNAcentral is "Histoplasma capsulatum H88 hypothetical RNA". Lineage: Eukaryota; Fungi; Ascomycota; Eurotiomycetes; Onygenales; Ajellomycetaceae. The record is from RNAcentral.